UACGUAGGGUGCGAGCGUUGUCCGGAAUUAUUGGGCGUAAAGGGCUCGUAGGCGGUCUGUCGCGUCGAUCGUGAAAACUUGGGGCUUAACCCUGAGCUUGCGGUCGAUACGGGCAUGACUGGAGUUCGGCAGGGGAGACUGGAAUUCCUGGUGUAGCGGUGAAAUGCGCAGAUAUCAGGAGGAACACCGGUGGCGAAGGCGGGAUCCUGGGCCAGUACUGACGCUGAGGAGCGAAAGCGUGGGGAGCAAACAGG
RNAcentral lists this ribosomal RNA (254 nucleotides) under uncultured bacterium. RNAcentral's name for it is "partial 16S ribosomal RNA". It matches the Rfam family "Bacterial small subunit ribosomal RNA", at positions 524 to 776 of the family's 1533-position model. The record is from RNAcentral.